RNAcentral lists this ribosomal RNA (433 nucleotides) under uncultured bacterium. RNAcentral describes it as "bacterial SSU rRNA". It matches the Rfam family "Bacterial small subunit ribosomal RNA", at positions 29 to 507 of the family's 1533-position model. The record is from RNAcentral.
AGUGAACGCUGGCGGCGUGCUUAACACAUGCAAGUCGAACGAACCCUUCGGGGUUAGUGGCGCACGGGUGCGUAACGCGUGGGGAUCUGCCCAAAGGUUCGGAAUAACUCAGAGAAAUUUGAGCUAAUACCGGAUAAUGUCUUCGGACCAAAGAUUUAUUGCCUUUGGAUGAACCCGCGUAGGAUUAGCUUGUUGGUGGGGUAAAGGCCUACCAAGGCGACGAUCCUUAGCUGGUCUGAGAGGAUGAUCAGCCACACUGGGACUGAGACACGGCCCAGACUCCUACGGGAGGCAGCAGUGGGGAAUAUUGGACAAUGGGCGAAAGCCUGAUCCAGCAAUGCCGCGUGAGUGAUGAAGGCCUUAGGGUUGUAAAGCUCUUUUACCAGGGAUGAUAAUGACAGUACCUGGAGAAUAAGCUCCGGCUAACUCCGUG